AAGUGGUCUUCAGGGGUCCUUCCUGGGUGGCAGCCUACCUGAGCUGGACAGUCACAAUCUUCUAGCCCAUUUCUUUUUCAUUAUCUGAGCCAGAUUUCUUUACAAUAUCUGUGGAGGUGGAUUAUAAGAGGGUAAGCCCUGAUUCCUGUGGUCAGUCUCUUCACAGGGAUGCAGAAGGGCCCAGAGGACCAGGUCAGCAGCUUUUGAAAACAUCCCCCAAAGGACACGAUGAAACUGUCUCCCUUGAUUCACCUAAGACCAAGCCUAAGUGAGGGGAUCCUAAGUGAGGCGGGCCUAUUGACCGGGCUCUGUCUGGCCUGGACACACGGAACUGUUGCAGCCACUUAAGGAAUCUUGGCAGGUCUCUCUUCAUCUAUGAAAAUGACGGAUUUGAGACAGUGACUCUCUAGGAUCCUUCCCGGUCCUGAAACUCUGUUGCCUGCUCCCCAGAGGUUACCUCUCUCGGGCUGGAGAGAUUUGGAGGCACUUGCACAGUGCCCUCAGUGUCAGGGCAAGUGAUUGGGGGUGACUGAUCCUCGCCCAAAAGCAAACAAAUGGCCACCGUGGAAUCUACGGACAGCCCUCUGCUCGGGUUGGGUACAGCUUUUCCCCAGACUCUUCCAUGUUCCUCUUACUCUGUCCUCAGGUCUUUCUGCAACUUGCUCAACUGGUGUUUUCCUUCCUCCUCUUAUUUUUCCCAGAACCGUGCCCCACGUCCAGCCAGGAUUCUGGGUCCCAGAAUCAGCUUUUCUUCAACGUGCAUCAGAUUUUUAGUCCUGAGUGGCUGCAAGGGGGCCUGUCCAUUAUGA
Molecule: long non-coding RNA, 809 nt
Filed under: Canis lupus familiaris (dog)
Lineage: Eukaryota; Metazoa; Chordata; Mammalia; Carnivora; Canidae
Description: lncRNA (ENSCAFG00000044653.2)
Source: RNAcentral